RNAcentral lists this ribosomal RNA (511 nucleotides) under uncultured bacterium. RNAcentral describes it as "bacterial SSU rRNA". It matches the Rfam family "Bacterial small subunit ribosomal RNA", at positions 34 to 518 of the family's 1533-position model. The record is from RNAcentral.
CGCUGGCGGCGUGCCUAAUACAUGCAAGUCGAACGGCUUUUCUAUGGAAGCUUGCUUCCACUGAGAAGAUAGUGGCGAACGGGUGAGUAACACGUGGGUAACCUGCCCAUAAGAGGGGGAUAACAUCCGGAAACGGGUGCUAAUACCGCAUAGUUUUCUUGAUCGCAUGAUUGAGAAAGGAAAGACGGCCUUUGUGCUGUCGCUUAUGGAUGGACCCGCGGCGUAUUAGUUAGUUGGUGAGGUAACGGCUCACCAAGACGAUGAUACGUAGCCGACCUGAGAGGGUGAUCGGCCACAUUGGGACUGAGACACGGCCCAAACUCCUACGGGAGGCAGCAGUAGGGAAUCUUCCGCAAUGGACGAAAGUCUGACGGAGCAACGCCGCGUGAGUGAAAGAAGGUUUUCGGAUCGUAAAACUCUGUUGUCAGAGAAGAACAAGUUGGAGAGUAACUGCUCCAGCCUUGACGGUAUCUGACCAGAAAGCCACGGCUAACUACGUGCCAGCCGCCGC